Molecule: transfer RNA, 78 nt
Filed under: Methanomassiliicoccales archaeon
Lineage: Archaea; Methanobacteriati; Thermoplasmatota; Thermoplasmata; Methanomassiliicoccales
Also listed under: 1 other name
Description: tRNA-Pro
Rfam family: tRNA
About the family: Transfer RNA (tRNA) molecules are approximately 80 nucleotides in length. Their secondary structure includes four short double-helical elements and three loops (D, anti-codon, and T loops).
Source: RNAcentral
GGGUCUGUGGGGUAGCUUGGUCCAUCCUUCGGGCUUUGGGAGCCUGAGACCCCGAUUCAAAUUCGGGCAGACCCACCA